Molecule: ribosomal RNA, 48 nt
Filed under: Paludibacterium purpuratum
Lineage: Bacteria; Pseudomonadati; Pseudomonadota; Betaproteobacteria; Neisseriales; Chromobacteriaceae
Source: RNAcentral
CCGAUGAUAGUGCGGCAUUCGCCGUGUGAAAGUAGGACACUGCCAGAC